Molecule: long non-coding RNA, 279 nt
Organism: Toxorhynchites rutilus septentrionalis
Lineage: Eukaryota; Metazoa; Arthropoda; Insecta; Diptera; Culicidae
Exons: 3
Source: RefSeq, a predicted model, not a curated record
GAACUGUAAUGUGCGUACUUCGCAGUUGUCAUUCUUCUUGAGGAAACAAAGCCAUUCGGAGUUUCUAACCUUUGAUUAAAAUUGCACAGUUGACUGGUGGAAUAUUCAAUGUAUACUAGACUAAGCAUUUGCAACACAAAUAAAUGUCGGGGAACGGGAGAGCAAAUAAUGCGGAUGAAAUGUACUGCGAUCUGGUCCCAUCAACUGCCAACUAAUCAGUAGUUCCUGUCCUAAAGGAUGAAAAUGUGUAACAGGAAAAGGAGCAAAACCUUGAUGAGC